This 460-nucleotide ribosomal RNA is filed under the name uncultured bacterium. Its description in RNAcentral is "partial 16S ribosomal RNA". It matches the Rfam family "Bacterial small subunit ribosomal RNA", at positions 338 to 795 of the family's 1533-position model. The record is from RNAcentral.
CCUACGGGAGGCAGCAGUGAGGAAUAUUGGUCAAUGGGCUUACGCCUGAACCAGCCAAGUCGCGUGAGGGAAGACUGCCCUAUGGGUUGUAAACCUCUUUUGUCAGGGAGCAACGCCGGCUACGUGUAGCCGGACUGAGAGUACCUGAAGAAAAAGCAUCGGCUAACUCCGUGCCAGCAGCCGCGGUAAUACGGAGGAUGCGAGCGUUAUCCGGAUUUAUUGGGUUUAAAGGGUGUGUAGGCGGAAUGCCAAGUCAGCGGUAAAAUCGCGGGGCUCAACCUCGCUCCGCCGUUGAAACUGGCGGUCUUGAGUGGGCGAGAAGUAUGCGGAAUGCGUGGUGUAGCGGUGAAAUGCAUAGAUAUCACGCAGAACUCCGAUUGCGAAGGCAGCAUACCGGCGCCCAACUGACGCUGAAGCACGAAAGCGUGGGUAUCGAACAGGAUUAGAUACCCCUGUAGUC